GGCAGGCCUAACACAUGCAAGUCGAGGGGUAACGAUGGCUUCGGCCAGGCGACGACCGGCGCACGGGUGAGUAUCGCGUUUGUAACCUACCUCUGACUGGAGGAUAGCCCGAAGAAAUUCGGAUUAAUACUCCAUAAUACUAUGGACAGGCAUCUGUUCAUGGUUAAAGCCCCGGCGGUCAGAGAUGGGCAUGCGUGACAUUAGCUUGUUGGUGAGGUAACAGCUCACCAAGGCUACGAUGUCUAGGGGGUCUGAGAGGAUGGUCCCCCACACUGGUACUGAGACACGGACCAGACUCCUACGGGAGGCAGCAGUGAGGAAUAUUGGUCAAUGGGCGAAAGCCUGAACCAGCCAUGCCGCGUGAAGGAUGACAGCCCUAUGGGUUGUAAACUUCUUUUGUACGGGAAGAAACGCCUCUACGUGUAGAGGUUUGACGGUACCGUACGAAUAAGCAUCGGCUAACUCCGUGCCAGCAGCCGCGGUAAUACGGAGGAUGCAAGCGUUAUCCGGAUUUAUUGGGUUUAAAGGGUACGUAGGCGGGAGCUUAAGUCAGUGGUGAAAUCCUGCAGCUUAACUGUAGAACUGUCAUUGAUACUGGGCUUCUUGAAUGUAGUUGAGGUAGGCGGAAUGUGUAAUGUAGCGGUGAAAUGCUUAGAUAUUACACAGAACACCGAUUGCGAAGGCAGCUUACUAAACUACGAUUGACGCUGAGGUACGAAAGCGUGGGGAGCGAACAGGAUUAGAUACCCUGGUAGUCCACGCUGUAAACGAUGAUCACUCGUUGUUGGCAAUACACCGUCAGCGACUGAGCGAAAGCAUUAAGUGAUCCACCUGGGGAGUACGACCGCAAGGUUGAAACUCAAAGGAAUUGACGGGGGCCCGCACAAGCGGAGGAACAUGUGGUUUAAUUCGAUGAUACGCGAGGAACCUUACACUGGGCUUAAANNUNGUA
This 952-nucleotide ribosomal RNA is filed under the name uncultured organism. Its description in RNAcentral is "bacterial SSU rRNA". It matches the Rfam family "Bacterial small subunit ribosomal RNA", at positions 41 to 992 of the family's 1533-position model. The record is from RNAcentral.